UACGGAGGGGGCGAGCGUUAUUCGGAAUUAUUGGGCGUAAAGGGCGCGUAGGCGGCUGUACAAGUCAAAGGUGAAAUCCCUCGGCUCAACUGAGGAACUGCCUUUGAAACUGUACGGCUUGAGGCCGGGAGGGGGUAGCGGAAUUCCCAGUGUAGCGGUGAAAUGCGUAGAUAUUGGGAGGAACACCAGUGGCGAAGGCGGCCACCUGGACCGGUUCUGACGCUGAUGCGCGAAAGCGUGGGGAGCAAACAGG
RNAcentral lists this ribosomal RNA (253 nucleotides) under uncultured bacterium. RNAcentral's name for it is "partial 16S ribosomal RNA". It matches the Rfam family "Bacterial small subunit ribosomal RNA", at positions 524 to 776 of the family's 1533-position model. The record is from RNAcentral.